Molecule: long non-coding RNA, 213 nt
Organism: Suncus etruscus (white-toothed pygmy shrew)
Lineage: Eukaryota; Metazoa; Chordata; Mammalia; Eulipotyphla; Soricidae
Exons: 2
Source: RefSeq, a predicted model, not a curated record
AAAAAGGCCAUUGAGGGGCCGGGCGGUGGCGCUGGAGAUAAGGUGCCUGCCUUGCCUGCGCUAGCCUCGGACGGACCGCGGUUCGAUUCCCCCGGCGUCCCAUAUGGUCCCCCAAGCCAGGAGCGACUUCUGAGCGCAUAGCCAGGAGUAACCCCUGAGCAUUACCGGGUGUGGCCCAAAAACCAAAAAAAAAAAAAAAAAAAAAAAAACAAA